AUCCUAGACAGGGCAAAAAAGGACUCCAAAUUAAAAAAAAGAUAAAAAUGAAAGACUGGUGCAUUGUGCAGUUUAGCACUGGUGGUACAGAAAUAGUCCCUAGAUCAUGGAUAAAUGGGGAGAAAUUGUCAUGGCCUCCAUAUCCUCCGUGAGACACAUUCAGGAUCCACGACGCAGUAAAGAGGAGAGUUCAUCCUGGUGCAACAUGGCUCACCUAUGCACCAGUCCGACUUCUAAUAAGCCAUGACACAUUUCACGAAGCAGAACGCAGUCUUCAGAAAUAUCUAAGUGAACACUGUGAUACGUCUGACCUUCAGUCCGAAGCUGAAACUCAGACCAGUCAUAAAAGAAAGCACAAGUAAAACUUUUUUUAUUUCACAAACAUAUCUUUGAUUGCUAAGAAUUUAUGAUCUUGUCUUUUAUACAUAUCUGUGGUGCUUGCAUACUGCAAUAUCACCACAUAAUAUAGUCCAAAAAGUGGAAGCUUGUAAACUUUUUAUAAAUGCAAAGCCGUGUACACUUGUGCACUUCA
Haplochromis burtoni (Burton's mouthbrooder) is the source of this 532-nucleotide long non-coding RNA. RefSeq lists it as uncharacterized. Lineage: Eukaryota; Metazoa; Chordata; Actinopteri; Cichliformes; Cichlidae. The record is from RefSeq and is a predicted model, not a curated record. The transcript is spliced from 2 exons.